RNAcentral lists this transfer RNA (67 nucleotides) under Aethus nigritus. Its description in RNAcentral is "tRNA-Trp". The record is from RNAcentral. Lineage: Eukaryota; Metazoa; Arthropoda; Insecta; Hemiptera; Cydnidae.
AAAGCCUUAAGUUAAAAUAAACUAUUAACCUUCAAAGUUAAAUAUACAUCAAUUUAUGUAGGCUUUA